RNAcentral lists this transfer RNA (72 nucleotides) under Nitratiruptor sp. YY09-18. Its description in RNAcentral is "tRNA-Asn". It matches the Rfam family "tRNA". Rfam says of the family: Transfer RNA (tRNA) molecules are approximately 80 nucleotides in length. Their secondary structure includes four short double-helical elements and three loops (D, anti-codon, and T loops). The record is from RNAcentral. Lineage: Bacteria; Pseudomonadati; Campylobacterota; Epsilonproteobacteria; Nautiliales; Nitratiruptoraceae.
UCCGGAUUAGCUCAGUGGUAGAGCAACCGGCUGUUAACCGGUUGGUCGCAGGUUCGAAUCCUGCAUCCGGAG